UCGGGAAUUUUGGGCAAUGGGCGAAAGCCUGACCCAGCAACGCCGCGUGAGGGAUGAAGUAUUUCGGUAUGUAAACCUCGAAAGAAUGGGAAGAAUAAAUGACGGUACCAUUCAUAAGCUCCGGCUAACUACGUGCCAGCAGCCGCGGUAAUACGUAGGGAGCAAGCGUUGUUCGGAUUUACUGGGCGUAAAGGGCGCGUAGGCGGCGCGGUAAGUCACUUGUGAAAUCUCUGAGCUUAACUCAGAACGGCCAAGUGAUACUGCUGUGCUAGAGUGCGGAAGAGGCAACCGGAAUUCUUGGUGUAGCGGUGAAAUGCGUAGAUAUCAAGAGGAACACCUGAGGCGAAGGCGGGUUGCUGGGCCGACACUGACGCUGAUGCGCGAAAGCCAGGGGAGCAAACG
This 402-nucleotide ribosomal RNA is filed under the name uncultured bacterium. RNAcentral's name for it is "bacterial SSU rRNA". It matches the Rfam family "Bacterial small subunit ribosomal RNA", at positions 355 to 774 of the family's 1533-position model. The record is from RNAcentral.